Long non-coding RNA from Cucumis sativus (cucumber), 4514 nucleotides. RefSeq lists it as uncharacterized. NCBI's taxonomy places the organism in Eukaryota, Viridiplantae, Streptophyta, Magnoliopsida, Cucurbitales, Cucurbitaceae. The record is from RefSeq and is a predicted model, not a curated record. The transcript has 3 exons.
GAAAGGAAAGGAAAGGAAAGGACUAUCUUAGUCAUUUCCUUGUUUGGCCCAUGGAUUAAGGGGAGGGAAAAUGUUAAACUUAAUCUCCCUUAAUCCUUCUCUUUUCCCAUUUAUUCCCCCAAUUUCUCCACUUAUUCCCCCAAUUUCCCCACUUAUUCCUUCCUAUUCCCAAUAUAAUCCUCCCAUUUUUCAAAACAAUCCUUCUCUUUCUUCUUUUCCAUCUUCUCUUUCCUCAUUAAUUUUUUCCUUUUCUUCUUUUCACACCCAAACAAUUUAGGGCUUCUCUCUUCCUCUUCUCACAACCGUCUCUCUUACUCUUCUCCCAAUCGUCUCGGUUCCUCUUCUCACAACCGAACAAUUUAUGGCUUCUCUCUUCCUCUUCUCACAGCCGAACAAUUUAGGGCUUCUCUCUUCCUCUUCUCACAACCCAUCAAUUAACUCUUCUAUCUUCCUCUUCUCACAACUAAAGGAAUUCCUCUCUUCCUCUUCGGCACUCACUGAUUUUUCUCCAUUGUUCAACACCAUCAUCUUCACGGUAUUUUGAUGCACGUUGGUUUUCUAAACCUCACAUGUUUUUCUUUGUUGUUCGUCAGUCUUUGAUGUCCCCGUGAAUGUGGGUGUCGUUGAUAGGCCACGUGUAGAAAUAAACGAAGGCCUCCAAUGCCUUAUCUCCGACUGGGCGUUCGUUGACUAGGUGGCUGCUUCCUUGCAUGGCUUGUCCUACGAACUUGCCGCUCGGAUGUUAUUCAUCAUAUUUUCCUUGCCGCUCGAUUAACCUUAAUGGUUGCGACCAUCUUUCAUCCUCUGAUGAGUGACGGAUACUAACCGAGGGUUGUGGCUGUGGUGGUUCCGAGCAAUGUAGGGUCGAGGUAAUAUAUCUUCCUUUUAUUCCACUGUCGAUGAUGAGUUAGUUUUCUGCAUAUGCAUUUUACUUUGAUUGAAACCAACAUUCACAUGUUCUCUUUGAUCUUCAUUAUUACUACUUUUAUUAUGUUCAACCAUUUAUUUUUUUGUUUCAUGACCAUGUCUCUAGAUUACUCUUUCUUUUUUUUUUUUUUCCUUUUGUUGUCCAUUGUAUUUUGUGCUUCUUCUCUGCCUCUAGUUCAAUGAAUUUAUUUUCCUCAUUUGCCUCUGUAUUUGUUUAUUUUUUUUUACUGUUUUUUCACAUCGGUUGGGUAGAAAAAAGAAAUAAAAAAAGACAUUUUCUUUCCUUCACAUGCAGUGACUGUCUCUGACUUGUGUGGCAUGCCCGUGAAUGCUUCUUUGACCAUCCAUUACCUAUUGUUUGUCCUAUCAACACAGCACGUUUGACAGUGGGAUUAAUUUUUUUUUUUUUUUUGGUUGUUGUUGCAUCAUUAAAUUUGCUACUGCCUUCCUUUAUAUAUUGUCCCCUUUCCUCAUUUGAUGUUGUUCUCCUCUGCUUGUCACUUGUUCAUCUACUGUUCUGCAUAUUUUCGUAUGAUAUUCCAUAUUGGUACGUAUUUUUGUUGUUCGUCUUCAUUUUAUCCAUUGAAUGUUCUUCACGUUACUCCAUAUAAUGUGUUUUAUGCAUUUUUUCAUCUAUGAUUUCAUUUCGUAUGUUGCAUUUCAUUUUAUCAGUGCCCUUCAUACCAACGCAUUUGAUAUGGAUGCAAUGCCCUUCAUAUCCCCACAUCUAAUAAGGUCUCCUUACAUUAGUCUAUCCAUGAUAAGUUUAUUUGUCAUUUGAAUUUUGAUUUCAUUUAACUGAACGAACUUUCGUUCUCUGAGGCAGAGUAUAACAUUGUUUAAAAUUUUGUAUACCUAUUCCCAUUUAUUUGUUAACUUUUUGAUUUGGUCACUUUUGUUACGCGUUGUUAGGUACGAACUAUAAGGUACGCUCUUGCACCAUUAUCUCUAUUUUUAUUUAGAGACAUAUAUUCUAAUACAUUGUGGCCUUAUGUAAGUUUCAUCACUGUCUUAUGCAGUACAGUCGAGUGUACGUAGACUACAAUUUCGAGGUACUAGGCAAACAUCGACAUUCUGCUAAAGGUGACCCUUAGCAUACCUUCCAAUGAAUCCCACAAAACUGGCGAAUCUUUUGAACGCCUUUCUACUGGCCCAACGUCAAAUGAUAAUGACGUUUGACACAUUCUUCAAUGAUAGGAGAAGGAUUCCCCAAGUACCGUGUAACACAAGGCAUAGGAUUAGACAGAUUGCGUAUUUUCAUAUGAUACACGAGUCUGACCUUGUAUGUCAGCAAAGUACGUGCAUGGAUAGACGUUGUUACGCAAUUCUUUGCCAUCUCCUACGGACAACGGCUGGAUUAGAAUCGACUGAAGUUGUCGACGUCGAAGAGAUGGUUGCUAUCUUCCUACACGUGCUUGCGCAUGAUGUUAAGAACCGCGAGAUACAAUGAGACUUUGUACGUUCUGACGAGACUGUAUCGAGGCAUUUUAACGUAGUCCUUAUGGUCGUAUUGCGUCUGUCGGAUGAGUUAUUGGCGAAACCACAGCUUGUUCCAAGCGACUGCACAGAUCCCAAGUGGCGAUGUUUAGAGUUUAGGUGUCAUGAAUUCGGUUUCAUUAUACAUAUUGAAUCUUGAUUCUCUCAGAUAAUUGUAUUUGGUCGUUUUAUUAUACGCUGCAAAAUUGCAUGGGUGUCCUUGACGACACGUACAUAAAAGUGAACAUGUCCGCAAGUGAUCGACCUAGAUAUCGAACACGGAAGGGUGAAGGCGACAAAUGUUCUUGGCGUAUGCGAUACAAAAGGGGACUUCAUUUUCAUCUUAUCAGGCUGGAAAGGUUCAGCAACUGACUCUCAUAUCCUACACGGUGCCAUUUCCAGACCCAACGGACUAAGGGUUCCUAAGGGUAAGGAUUAGUGUUUUAGAACUUAAAAAUUACUAUCUUUUUCUACUACCGAUAAUUUUAGUAGAAGAAAAACAACCAUUUUAGGGUUCUACUACCUCUGCGACGCGGGGUACCCAAAUGCGGAGGGAUUUUUGGCUCCGUAUAGAGGACAACGAUACCACCUACAAGAGUGGCGAGGCACUGGAAAUGCACCAACUACAUCGAAGGAGUUCUUCAACAUGAAACACUAGUCUGCACGUAACAUUAUCGAACGAGCGUUUGGUCUUCUGAAGGGUCGUUGGGCAAUAUUUUAUGGAAAGUCGUACUACCCCGUUCAGGUUCAGUGUCGCACUAUUAUGGCUUGUUGUCUACUCCAUAAUCUAAAAAAUCGUGAGAUGACAAAUGUCGACACGCUAGACGACGACGACGACAAGGGUGACUCAAACUAUGCAACGACUGUAGGUGACGACAUCAACUACAUUGAGGCGUCAAACGAAUGGACCCAAUGGAGGGAUGACCUCACACAGUCGAUGUUCAACGAAUGGCAGUCGCGAAACUCCUACAUGGCUAGUUCAUCGAGAAACCCAAAGCACGCGUGGACGAGGGUAGAGGAGUCAUGUCUCGUUAGUUAUCUUGUCGAUCUUGUCUCCGCAGAAGGGUGGAGAUCAGACAACGGCACCUUUCGACCUGGCUACCUUGCGCAGUUACUGAGAAUGCUAGCUAAGAGGAUGCCAUGGUGCAAAUUGACAUUCACUACCGUUGUAGAAAGCAGAAUAAAGUUAUUGAAACGAUUAUUCCAGGAAAUUUCAUAGAUGCGUGGUCCUGCGUGCAGUGGGUUCGGGUGGAAUGAUGACCUUCGGUGCAUCGUUGCGGAGCGGGACAUUUUCGACAGCUGGGUCCGGGUAUGGAAAUAUUUGCAGUUUCGUGUCCACAACAGAUUUAUUACACUGCUGACUAUAUUUUUUUUCAAUAUUUCGACAAGCACAUCCUGUAGCGAAAGGCCUACUAAACAAACCUUUUUCGUAUUACGAUGAUUUAUCAUACGUAUUCGAAAAAGAUCGUGCGACAGGGGCACGUGCAGAAAUGUUCACGGAUAUCGGGUCUAACAACCCCGUAGCUAAUGACAGAGUACGACCGGAGGAUGACCUUGAUAUGGAGUUCCCUAAUAUGUCGAGCCUGAGGAUGAACAUGUCUCCAGAUGACAUGAUGAGCAGGCGUCCUUCGAGGUCGAGUGAUGUUAGACCUAGCUCGAGCGGAAGUAAGAGGAAGCGGAUCAUGCAGCAGAUCGAUAGCUUGGACGUAAUUCGCGAUGUCAUGGAUUGUACGAAUGCACAACUGCGAGCGAUUGCAGAAUGGCCGGAUAAGACCCUACAGAGUGAAGCAUUUGUGCGGUGGGAAGUACUGGCACACCUGCAAUCCAUUCUAGACCUCAGUGAAGAGGACCUAAUGAAAUGUAUAAUGGUCGUGAUGGAAAAAACGUCAUUAAUGCAUACAUUUUUUGAGAUGCCCGAUCACCUGAAGCGUGCCUACUGUAGGGUCAUUCUACGAAAUAACCCAUAAUUGUCGGUCCCUUAUCAUUACUCAUCCGUUAUGUUUUUCGUUUCCAUUGUGGUUGUUUGGUUAUUCUCUGCUAGACUGAUUAAUUAUGUAACUGAUGUUUUCGUUAACUGCAAUUCGAGAAAAUAGUCGUUUUAUUUCAUUUAA